RNAcentral lists this ribosomal RNA (253 nucleotides) under uncultured bacterium. Its description in RNAcentral is "partial 16S ribosomal RNA". It matches the Rfam family "Bacterial small subunit ribosomal RNA", at positions 524 to 776 of the family's 1533-position model. The record is from RNAcentral.
UACGUAGGGUGCAAGCGUUACUCGGAAUUACUGGGCGUAAAGCGUGCGCAGGCGGUUUUGUAAGACUGGCGUGAAAUCCCCGGGCUCAACCUGGGAAUGGCGAUGGUGACUGCAAGGCUAGAGUUUGGCAGAGGGGGGUAGAAUUCCACGUGUAGCAGUGAAAUGCGUAGAUAUGUGGAGGAACACCGAUGGCGAAGGCAGCCCCCUGGGUCAAAACUGACGCUCAUGCACGAAAGCGUGGGGAGCAAACAGG